ACCGGGACCCUCACAGACAGUGUCCAUCUUGUGGAAGGCCCCUAAAAUGAGUCAUAAAACACUUUUUAUACCAUGUGGACAUUACAGUGGGUGUGGUUUAGUCUCACAUUUCUAAUGUUACUGGCUCUCACCAACAGGGGAAGAUCUCCCUGUAUCUGACACUUGCACAUUCGUGUUGAAAGUGAAUCUUAACUCUUAAACUUUAAACCAGGAGGAAAAUGACACCUUCACCCUGACCCCACUGCCAGAGGGUAAACAUGCUGUGGGGGGGCAGAUGGGAUGACACAAAGAAAAUCCAGAUGAGACAGAAACAUACAAAGCAGGUAUGUGGCCAAAGGUUCUAGUCAAGUUGCUGAGAUUGAUUUAAGUUAAAAUAAUAAUAAUAAUGUUACAGCUUCCAUACAGGUGGAAAAACAGCUGAUUCUAUACUUUUUAAAGGGUUUCUUGAGUUUAUCUGGAGUUUGUCAAAAUACAGAAAGCAGCAAAUUUGUCAUAACUGAGUGACUUUGUUGUUUGGAGACGACAGCAGACAAAGUCAUCACCAUUAAUUUCAUUUCUGGCCGAUGUGACAUUUUGUCUUGUGGUUCAGUAACACAUGGAGCCGUCCCAGGGUGACAGUUGGAGCCAGGUAGAGGUCAACCAAGGGUUACACAAGGGUCAACAUUUAAAAAUACUAAACCACAUUAUUUGACUGAUCAGAACAAUUUGCAUCAUUUUUAACAAAUUUGGAGCAACUUUAACUUUUGACUCGUGUGUGUACUGAAGUUGACCUUUGUCACCUUUUCUGCUGAUUUUAACCCAUAACUCCAGAACAUUCUGUCAUAAAUAGUCUGAACCAUAUGCUUAUAGAAUCUUUAUGAUCAGAUCAUUUAUUCUCCUUAAACAGGCCAGAAAACCUCCUCGGCCCGUGAACUGUUUCAUCAACAUAAAGACCAAAUUUGGUGCUUUCAGUCAAAUUGGUUUCUUCAUGAAAAUACUGUGAACACCUUUAUUGUUGGAGAAAUGCUGCCGUCGUGAGUCGAUAAAGGUAUUUACAAUUAUAAAGGCAGAAGUACAAACAGAAAGUGUAAAUAAAACUUGUUCAACUUUCCAAACACUUCUGUAAUUUUUGUAGUUUACAUAGUUUCCUUCAUGGUGAAAAAAUGUUUUUUAUUUAUGCAUUUUAUUUAUGUUAUUUCAUUUAAAUAUUUAUCAUUGUUAUUUAUGUUAUUUUAUUUUUUUGUGUAUGGGUGUGUUUGAUCAACAAUUGGGCAGCGCAGUCUCGUUUAAGGGCAGGUGCUAAACGGCUAAAAUAUGAUGCAUAUGACAUAACUUCUCUACUUCUGGGACAGAAACGCAGUACUUUCUCUGAAAUUUUUGGCAAAUUACACACAAAGUGAAAAUUCAAAGAAAAAGUGACGAUGCGGUGGACGUUGCGGUUUGUUUAUGACCUGGUGCUCAAACAUUUGGAGGUGGUUGUGCAGGCAAAAGAAUGCAGCAACUCUGGUUAGCUGUGUGAGCUAACACUGACCGACACAGUCUCCCAUUUGCCUCGUCUUCCCUUCUCCACUGGGAAGCGACUGCUUCUGUGAUUGCAGCCAAAAACAAAACAGUACACCAUUUUCCUGUGUGAAGUUAUGCUGUGUAUAUUUAUAUUGCACAACGGGUGUGGCUGUCCCCAUAAGUGAUCAAAUCCUGCGAUAUCAUGCAGGGUUCAAACGAGAUUGCGCUGCCCAAUUAAACCUUUAGGUCUGUUAUACGGCUGUUGUCAAUCUAUAAUCUAAAUCAUAUUCUCACCUAAAAAGUAAGUCCCUGGCUUGCACAUGGGGUUGCCACAGAAAACCUGAGACCAAGGGCACCAAAAUGGCGAGAGCUAGCUCUGAGCCCAAUUGAACUUUAACCUCUAUAGCAAUUUCUUUCAAUUACCAUGUUGUUCAUAGGUCAUUUUUGCGGUGUCGGUAUUUUCUUUGUGUGUCCACUAUGAAUUAUCAUGUGUCUGUUCAGGUUGCUCUUUAGCCCAAAUCUUCGACCACACUCAGAACAGGCAAAUGCUUCUUCUCCUGUAUGAAUUAUCAUGUGUCUAUUCAGGUAGCUCUUUCGCCCAAAUCUUUGACCACACUCAUAACACACAAAUGCUUUUUGACCUGUAUGAAUUAUUGUAUGUGUUUUCAGAGUGCUCUUUCGCCCAAAUCUUUGAUCACACUCGGAACAGACAAAUGCUUUUUGUCCUGUGUGAAUUAUCAUGUGUGUGUUCAGAGUGCUCUUUUUUUCCAAAUCUUUGACCACAUUCAGAA
Long non-coding RNA from Thalassophryne amazonica, 2273 nucleotides. RefSeq lists it as uncharacterized. Lineage: Eukaryota; Metazoa; Chordata; Actinopteri; Batrachoidiformes; Batrachoididae. The record is from RefSeq and is a predicted model, not a curated record. The transcript is spliced from 2 exons.